GACGAAUGCUGGCUGCGUGCUUAACACAUGCAAGUCGAACGGUGAAGGGGAGCUUGCUCCCCGGAUCAGUGGCGAACGGGUGAGUAACACGUGGGCAACCUGCCCCUCACUCUGGGGUAACUCCGGGAAACCGGGGCUAAUACCGGAAACGACCGGGAGCGACAUCGCUCCUGGCGGAAAGAACUUCGGUGAGGGAUGGGCCCGCGGCCUAUCAGCUAGUUGGUGGGGUAACGGCCCACCAAGGCGACGCCGGGUAGCCGGCCUGAGAGGGCGACCGGCCACACUGGGACUGAGACACGGCCCAGACUCCUACGGGAGGCAGCAGUGGGGAAUAUUGCGCAAUGGGCGAAAGCCUGACGCAGCGACGCAGCGUGAGGGACGAAGGCCUUCGGGUUGUAAACCUCUUUCAGCGGGGACGAAGCGAAAGUGACGGUACCCGCAGAAGAAGCACCGGCUAACUACGUGCCAGCAGCCGCCGUAA
This 481-nucleotide ribosomal RNA is filed under the name uncultured bacterium. Its description in RNAcentral is "partial 16S ribosomal RNA". It matches the Rfam family "Bacterial small subunit ribosomal RNA", at positions 28 to 523 of the family's 1533-position model. The record is from RNAcentral.